GAUGAAGAACGCAGCGAAAUGCGAUAAGUAAUGUGAAUUGCAGAAUUCAGUGAAUCAUCGAAUCUUUGAACGCACCUUGCGCCCUUUGGCUAUUCUGAAGGGCAUGCCUGUUUGAGUAUCAUGAACACCUCAACUCUCAUGGUUUGCCAUGAUGAGCUUGGACUUUGGGGGUCUUGCUGGCCUACGGUCGGCUCCUCUCAAAUGAAUCAGCUUGCCAGUGUUUGGUGGCAUCACGGGUGUGAUAACUAUCUACGCUUGUGGUUUUCCACCAAGUUUAACCCCCAGCGAUGGAGGUUGGCUGGGGCUCACAAACGUCGUCUCUCUUCGGCGGGGACAGCUCUUUGAACGUUUGAUCUCAAAUCAGGUAGGACUACCCGCUGAACUUAAGCAUAUCAAUAAGCGGAGGA
This 407-nucleotide unclassified non-coding RNA is filed under the name soil metagenome. RNAcentral's name for it is "partial contains 5.8S ribosomal RNA, internal transcribed spacer 2, and large subunit ribosomal RNA". The stretch from base 1 to 121 matches the Rfam family "5.8S ribosomal RNA", at positions 35 to 154 of the family's 154-position model. The record is from RNAcentral.